AUUCUGGUGUCCCAGGCGUAGAGGAACCACACCAAUCCAUCCCGAACUUGGUAGUUAAACUCUACUGCGGUGACGAUACUGUAGGGGAAGCCCUGCGGAAAAAUAGCUCGAUGCCAGGAUGAUAAAAAGCUUUAUGUCUCU
RNAcentral lists this ribosomal RNA (141 nucleotides) under Wollemia nobilis. Lineage: Eukaryota; Viridiplantae; Streptophyta; Pinopsida; Araucariales; Araucariaceae. The record is from RNAcentral.